GCCUAACACAUGCAAGUCGAACGGCAGCGCGAAGGAAGCUUGCUUUCUUUGGCGGCGAGUGGCGAACGGGUCGAGUAAUGUAUCGGAACGUGCCCAGUAGCGGGGGAUAACUGGCCGAAAGGUCAGCUAAUACCGCAUACGUCCUACGGGAGAAAGGGGGGGAUCGCAAGACCUCUCACUAUUGGAGCGGCCGAUAUCGGAUUAGCUAGUUGGUGGGGUAAAGGCCUACCAAGGCGACGAUCCGUAGCUGGUUUGAGAGGACGACCAGCCACACUGGGACUGAGACACGGCCCAGACUCCUACGGGAGGCAGCAGUGGGGAAUUUUGGACAAUGGGGGAAACCCUGAUCCAGCCAUCCCGCGUGUGCGAUGAAGGCCUUCGGGUUGUAAAGCACUUUUGGCAGGGAAGAAACGGCCUGGGAUAAUACCUUGGGCUAAUGACGGUACCUGCAGAAUAAGCACCGGCUAACUACGUGCCAGCAGCCGCGGUAAUAC
RNAcentral lists this ribosomal RNA (494 nucleotides) under uncultured beta proteobacterium. RNAcentral's name for it is "bacterial SSU rRNA". It matches the Rfam family "Bacterial small subunit ribosomal RNA", at positions 46 to 526 of the family's 1533-position model. Lineage: Bacteria; Pseudomonadati; Pseudomonadota; Betaproteobacteria. The record is from RNAcentral.